Ochotona curzoniae (black-lipped pika) is the source of this 1510-nucleotide long non-coding RNA. RefSeq lists it as uncharacterized. The transcript is spliced from 3 exons. Lineage: Eukaryota; Metazoa; Chordata; Mammalia; Lagomorpha; Ochotonidae. The record is from RefSeq and is a predicted model, not a curated record.
CCUCAACAGCCAGGACUAGGCUAGGCUACAGCUGGGAACUCAACUCAGGUCUUCCCAUGGGUCACAAGUACCUAAAUACUAAUACCGUGCCCUACUGCCUCCCAGGGUGCACAAUAACAGGAAGCCUGAAUCAGGAGCAGAGUAGGCACCAGAGCCCAGGCACUCUGAUACUGGAUGCAGGCAUUGCCAAUGGUAUUUAAAUCACCAGGCCAAAUGCCUGUCCAAAGUCAAAUUCUUAAGAUACACUCUCAUUUUAUUUUAAGCCUAUCGUAUUUUUAUUCUUACUACAUGUCGUAGUUAGGAGGUAGUUAAUAUUGUAACAUAUUAUAGCUGAGAAUUAUAGCUGGUUAUGCAAUACAUAAACAAGAGUUUCUUUUCUUGGAUCUUCCAGGAAAUUCAAAUCUAGUAAAGAAAUCUGCGUAAGUCACCACAGUCAGAAGCAUGAGAAACUUGUGUUACUAUUUGAUGCCUGUGCAGCAAGAAUGUUUUCACAAAUGUGGUAACCCUGAGCUUCCAAUGACAGUGUCUGCAGAGAUUCUCACUGGCCCCUUCAAAAGGCCCGGGGAAGCAGAGAUGACGGUUCCUGCUAUUACUAGGAAGACUUGGAUUGGCUUCCCAGGUUGUAGCUCCAGGCUGAUCCAGUCCUACCAUGUGGGCACCUGCAGAGUGAACCAGUGGCUGUGUACUCACCUCCUGUGGGUGUGCAUCUCAACGUUAGAGUAGAUCCCUUGGAUCCUGUUUGAUACAUUGAUUUUUCUAAGGGGAAGACACGCUUCUCCACAUGUGUUGUUAAUGUUUGCAGGUCAGUAUGAAAGAGCAUGUAUGAUUUCUGUGCCAAAUGCUUUGUAACUGGCUGUGGUUUUCUUAGCUUCUAUAAACAGAAGCUCUUCUGUCAAUACUUUUAAAUACUCUUCCUCCAAAAAAAUAGUAUGAUGAAGUUUUGCCUGGUGUUACCAGCAAUCUCAAACUGAACCAAUGAAUAGGUUACCACCUCUAAGCAAGCUGUCAUUUUACAACUGAGCUUGUUGACCAACAGCUGAGCACACGGUUCUUGGUGUGCAAAGGGAAAAAAGCUCACAUGACACAAUGGGCAAGACACUGCUUGGUAGGCUUACGUUCCAUCCUGGAGAGCUAAAGUUGGAACCCCAGGUCCACUCCUGAUUCCAGCUUUCUGCUAAUGUCCAUCUUGGGAGGCAGGAGAUGAUGACUUGAGUAGUUAAGUACAUGAACCUACAUGGGAGACUCUGAUUGAGUUCCUGACUCCUGGCUUCAAUCUGGUCGAGCCCUGGCCGCUCAUGUGAGAUACUGGGAUAGAGAUCCAGGUUACUGUCUUUAGUCCGGACCAGCACAAACCAUAGUGGCUACUUUAGGAGUGAACUAGCAGAUGGAAGAUCUCUUUCUCUUGGACUGGCAAUGUGGUAACAGUAGGUCAAGCUUGCCUCUGGGGUGCCAGUAUCCCAUAAGGGCACCAGUUCGUAUCCCAGCUGCUCCUCUUCUGGUCCAGCUUACU